Molecule: small RNA, 28 nt
Filed under: Bombyx mori (domestic silkworm)
Lineage: Eukaryota; Metazoa; Arthropoda; Insecta; Lepidoptera; Bombycidae
Description: piRNA piR-bmo-2190949
Source: RNAcentral
ACAUGAAUAUGGUCUAAGGUUGAAUAGC